UGUGGGAGCGAGCCUGCUCGCGAUUCAGGCGACUCGGUCUGGCUUUGAACCGAGGUGAUGCCAUCGCGAGCAGGCUCGCUCCCACA
Molecule: unclassified non-coding RNA, 86 nt
Filed under: Pseudomonas kilonensis
Lineage: Bacteria; Pseudomonadati; Pseudomonadota; Gammaproteobacteria; Pseudomonadales; Pseudomonadaceae
Source: RNAcentral